RNAcentral lists this ribosomal RNA (492 nucleotides) under uncultured bacterium. Its description in RNAcentral is "partial 16S ribosomal RNA". It matches the Rfam family "Bacterial small subunit ribosomal RNA", at positions 29 to 507 of the family's 1533-position model. The record is from RNAcentral.
AGUGAACGCUGGCGGUAGGCCUAACACAUGCAAGUCGAACGGCAGCACAGUAAGAGCUUGCUCUUACGGGUGGCGAGUGGCGGACGGGUGAGGAGUACAUCGGAAUCUACUUUUUCGUGGGGGAUAACGUAGGGAAACUUACGCUAAUACCGCAUACGACCUACGGGUGAAAGCAGGGGAUCUUCGGACCUUGCGCGAUUGAAUGAGCCGAUGUCGGAUUAGCUAGUUGGCGGGGUAAAGGCCCACCAAGGCGACGAUCCGUAGCUGGUCUGGGAGGAUGAUCAGCCACACUGGAACUGAGACACGGUCCAGACUCCUACGGGAGGCAGCAGUGGGGAAUAUUGGGCAAUGGGCGCAAGCCUGAUCCAGCCAUACCGCGUGGGUGAAGAAGGCCUUCGGGUUGUAAAGCCCUUUUGUUGGGAAAGAAAAGCAGCAGGUUAAUACCCCGCUGUUCUGACGGUACCCAAAGAAUAAGCACCGGCUAACUUCGUG